Molecule: ribosomal RNA, 678 nt
Filed under: Mycetocola sp. YIM 48843
Lineage: Bacteria; Bacillati; Actinomycetota; Actinomycetes; Micrococcales; Microbacteriaceae
Description: bacterial SSU rRNA
Rfam family: Bacterial small subunit ribosomal RNA
Source: RNAcentral
UGCAAGUCGAACGAUGAACUCCAGCUUGCUGGGGGGAUUAGUGGCGAACGGGUGAGUAACACGUGAGUAACCUGCCCUUGACUCUGGGAUAAGCGUUGGAAACGACGUCUAAUACCGGAUAUGACCAGCCUCGGCAUCGGGUGUUGGUGGAAAGAAUUUUGGUCAAGGAUGGACUCGCGGCCUAUCAGGUAGUUGGUGAGGUAAUGGCUCACCAAGCCUACGACGGGUAGCCGGCCUGAGAGGGUGACCGGCCACACUGGGACUGAGACACGGCCCAGACUCCUACGGGAGGCAGCAGUGGGGAAUAUUGCACAAUGGGCGAAAGCCUGAUGCAGCAACGCCGCGUGAGGGACGACGGCCUUCGGGUUGUAAACCUCUUUUAGCAGGGAAGAAGCGAAAGUGACGGUACCUGCAGAAAAAGCACCGGCUAACUACGUGCCAGCAGCCGCGGUAAUACGUAGGGUGCAAGCGUUGUCCGGAAUUAUUGGGCGUAAAGAGCUCGUAGGCGGUUUGUCGCGUCUGCUGUGAAAACUGGAGGCUCAACCUCCAGCCUGCAGUGGGUACGGGCAGACUAGAGUGCGGUAGGGGAGAUUGGAAUUCCUGGUGUAGCGGUGGAAUGCGCAGAUAUCAGGAGGAACACCGAUGGCGAAGGCAGAUCUCUGGGCCGUAACUGACGCU